Small nucleolar RNA from Dasypus novemcinctus (nine-banded armadillo), 133 nucleotides. NCBI's taxonomy places the organism in Eukaryota, Metazoa, Chordata, Mammalia, Cingulata, Dasypodidae. The record is from Ensembl.
AUACAUCACUGACAGACCUGGAGCAGUUAAUGUCUGGUGCUAAGGUUUCCACUACAGAUGCAAGAAAAAGAAGGUCCUCGUGCUUUCUGCCUGUCUGGUUGUGGCAGCCAAGAUUGAAUGGGGGAAUACAGGA